This 317-nucleotide long non-coding RNA is filed under the name Marmota monax (woodchuck). The record is from RNAcentral. Lineage: Eukaryota; Metazoa; Chordata; Mammalia; Rodentia; Sciuridae.
UAGUCAAUACAUUUUAGCUAUAUAAUUUCUGUACUCUAGAGUCACCCUAGGGCAGUGAAUCUCAAUCUUUCCCCCUGAAAUAGCCCUAACCCUAGAUGAGAACAAGUGGGAGCUGGGUUUGGGAGGGAUGGUCUGGAAGGGCAAUGUAGCCUGUAAUUAUUUUUUAAAACUGCCUUAUUUUUAAAAAGUGAAUGUGAAAUUUGUGAUGUGCUCUAUGUUUGUGUUUCUUUUAGUGUACACACAAUUUUAAAUUAGUUGCCAUGAGAUAAAACUGAUGACCCAGGAAGUCAGGACUUGUGCCUUCUGUGCUUUUGUGU